CGGGGUAUAGGCCAGUCUGGUAGGUCGCUCGCUUUGGACGCGAGAGGACGGAGGUUCAAAUCCUCCUAUCCCGAC
Molecule: transfer RNA, 75 nt
Filed under: Arthrobacter phage Amigo
Lineage: Duplodnaviria; Heunggongvirae; Uroviricota; Caudoviricetes
Also listed under: 5 other names
Description: tRNA-Pro
Rfam family: tRNA
About the family: Transfer RNA (tRNA) molecules are approximately 80 nucleotides in length. Their secondary structure includes four short double-helical elements and three loops (D, anti-codon, and T loops).
Source: RNAcentral